This 1073-nucleotide ribosomal RNA is filed under the name 'Prunus cerasus' phytoplasma. RNAcentral describes it as "bacterial SSU rRNA". It matches the Rfam family "Bacterial small subunit ribosomal RNA", at positions 209 to 1290 of the family's 1533-position model. The record is from RNAcentral. Lineage: Bacteria; Bacillati; Mycoplasmatota; Mollicutes; Acholeplasmatales; Acholeplasmataceae.
AUAGGUAUGCUUAGGGAGGAGCUUGCGUCACAUUAGUUAGUUGGUGGGGUAAAGGCCUACCAAGACUAUGAUGUGUAGCCGGGCUGAGAGGUUGAACGGCCACAUUGGGACUGAGACACGGCCCAAACUCCUACGGGAGGCAGCAGUAGGGAAUUUUCGGCAAUGGAGGAAACUCUGACCGAGCAACGCCGCGUGAACGAUGAAGUAUUUCGGUACGUAAAGUUCUUUUAUUAGGGAAGAAUAAAUGAUGGAAAAAUCAUUCUGACGGUACCUAAUGAAUAAGCCCCGGCUAACUAUGUGCCAGCAGCCGCGGUAAUACAUAGGGGGCAAGCGUUAUCCGGAAUUAUUGGGCGUAAAGGGUGCGUAGGCGGUUAAAUAAGUUUAUGGUCUAAGUGCAAUGCUCAACAUUGUGAUGCUAUAAAAACUGUUUAGCUAGAGUAAGAUAGAGGCAAGUGGAAUUCCAUGUGUAGUGGUAAAAUGCGUAAAUAUAUGGAGGAACACCAGUAGCGAAGGCGGCUUGCUGGGUCUUUACUGACGCUGAGGCACGAAAGCGUGGGGAGCAAACAGGAUUAGAUACCCUGGUAGUCCACGCCGUAAACGAUGAGUACUAAACGUUGGGUAAAACCAGUGUUGAAGUUAACACAUUAAGUACUCCGCCUGAGUAGUACGUACGCAAGUAUGAAACUUAAAGGAAUUGACGGGACUCCGCACAAGCGGUGGAUCAUGUUGUUUAAUUCGAAGGUACCCGAAAAACCUCACCAGGUCUUGACAUGCUUCUGCAAAGCUGUAGAAACACAGUGGAGGUUAUCAGUUGCACAGGUGGUGCAUGGUUGUCGUCAGCUCGUGUCGUGAGAUGUUGGGUUAAGUCCCGCAACGAGCGCAACCCUUAUUGUUAGUUACCAGCACGUAAUGGUGGGGACUUUAGCAAGACUGCCAGUGAUAAAUUGGAGGAAGGUGGGGACGACGUCAAAUCAUCAUGCCCCUUAUGACCUGGGCUACAAACGUGAUACAAUGGCUGUUACAAAGGGUAGCUGAAGCGCAAGUUUUUGGCGAAUCUCAAAAAAACAGUCUCA